CCUAAAUACCUAAAUCUACUAUUAGUUUGAAAUCCUAACUUCACACUCGUGAGUCGACAAUACUUCUCCUCUCCUCCUCUCAAACUCGCCGGCCGCCGCUGCCCUCUCCACUUUCCAUUGUCUCCAAGACUCCAGUCACUUCCCUGUUGAUUUCGCUCCCAAGUCCUUCUUCUUCUUCUUCUUCUUUUUCUUCUUCAUUACUCGUCUCUCCUGCUCCCGUCCUCUCCUCUCAAACUCGUCGGCCGCCGCUGCCCUUUCCACUCUCCAAGACUCCAGUCACCGCCGCUUCCCUCUCGAGUCUCCAAAAACUGAAGAUUUUGGUGGUCAGGGAAGGAGAAAGAGAAAUGAUGCUUCACCAAAUGAUGAAUUGACAGACCUUGAGCACGGUGAUGCAGUACUGGUGAUUCCGUGAUUGCACUUGGCCAAUUAAAGAAUGCUUAAGCCUUAAAGUGGAGGGGAGAUGCCAGUUUACAACUUUCACUUGUUAUUUCUUAAUCACUUUUGUACUUGGCCAUUAAAAUUGAAAGGAACAGUUUAUAUUUUAUGAUAAUGUAAUUGGUUAUUAUUAGUUAUUAUGCUUGAAUGAGAAGAAUUCAGCAGCAUUAAUUGGU
Pistacia vera is the source of this 611-nucleotide long non-coding RNA. RefSeq lists it as uncharacterized. NCBI's taxonomy places the organism in Eukaryota, Viridiplantae, Streptophyta, Magnoliopsida, Sapindales, Anacardiaceae. The record is from RefSeq and is a predicted model, not a curated record. The transcript has 3 exons.